Molecule: transfer RNA, 60 nt
Filed under: Cylisticus convexus
Lineage: Eukaryota; Metazoa; Arthropoda; Malacostraca; Isopoda; Cylisticidae
Description: tRNA-Gln
Source: RNAcentral
UUAAGUUCUUAACCAAAUCUUCAAGUCUCAAAAUCUUACGUGCUGUAACACUAGAAGUUA